Molecule: long non-coding RNA, 1055 nt
Filed under: Medicago truncatula (barrel medic)
Lineage: Eukaryota; Viridiplantae; Streptophyta; Magnoliopsida; Fabales; Fabaceae
Description: long non-coding RNA (MTRU_LNC005697)
Source: RNAcentral
UCUUGUUGCUAACUCAAAUGGACAUCUCUUAUAUUGCUAAUUACAGUAAUUUAUAAGCACAUACUUAAUAUUGCUCUCAUGUCAUGAAGAAACAACCCACCAAUAGCGGUUUCCUGAAUGUUCCAUGGUGCAUGCAUUUUUCUUUUGAUUUCAGUUUCAGUGCAAUAAACAACUCUUUAGCGAAUUUAUAUUUAUCCAUUGUUUCUAUUAUAUCCUUCAUUUCUUUCCUAUUAUGUUCUCAACAAAAAUUUGUUCUUCAAUUUUUGCCUUCAUUAUUGUAGGGGAGGCGUGGCCUAGAUAGUGAGAUAGGGAACCAGGGACAUCGGGUCGCAUUCUUUUUCUAGGGUAAUGUGCAACAGGUAAAAUACAAACACCAACUUCGGUGCUUGUAGGUCGGGUUUUUAUGUACGACACACUUCAGAAAGGAUUUGGUGACCGAUGAUUGGAAUUCCUAGAGAAAUGUUGUUUCUUUUGAGCAAUUAAAUGUUGUUGUUGACUUUUGUCAUCCACAAAGAAUGGUUCCUUAAACAGUUAGUGCUCAUAACAGGUUUCUUAAUUAGCUUUUCGCUCACUUUUCUAUCCUUAAUUUUCUUAAGAUGCAUGGGUACGAAAUUGGGGUUUAAAAAAUGUGGCCAUGAAAAGUAUUUCACAUAAACCAUGGAGUGGCCAAAUUGACAAAGGGGUCCUGUCGUCAUUGCCCGUCUAUUCUCAUACUGGAUUUUGCAGCUAUUCAUUAUGGAGAAUAAAAUUGUUAAUGUUUUUCUGUUUUUUCUUCCGGCAGGAUUAAUGAAAUAAAAAUUGUCCCUUAUAGUUAUGUGGUCCUAUUCAUAAGAAAUUUUGGAUUGUGUUUUUACUUUAUGGUACGUUUUCAGGCGUAGCUAUUUUAGAACUAAAAUGUUUGUGAUCUUUUUUCCCACAAAAAAAAAAAAAAAAGAUUGUGAUCUUUUUAUUGUUUUAUUCAUUUCUACGCCAUUUUGCUGUGAAAACCCUAGAGAAGAUAAAAACCUGAGAAAAUGAGGUUCCGACAUACGGUAGGAAAGAUUUGCAUAAAAAAG